This 3301-nucleotide long non-coding RNA is filed under the name Olea europaea subsp. europaea. The record is from RNAcentral. Lineage: Eukaryota; Viridiplantae; Streptophyta; Magnoliopsida; Lamiales; Oleaceae.
GAGUUUCUCAAAUUUCUUCUUGAGAAUCUAGACAUGAGUUCUUCAUGAAAGAUUGAUGAAUUUGUGUCUUAACUCCAUCUUAACAUCCGUACAAUAAUUUGAAACACAGUCUUUACAGGGGCUGCUAGUCAAUCCUACAACAUCAAGCACUCAACCACCGGAACACUAUCCAUCUUUGAGUUUCCAUUUGCAACCCUAUCCACAGGUAGCUUCGGGACUAAACCCACCAUUAGACUAGCCUCAGGCAGUCACAACAUGCAUGUCAUGCUCACCGCCACUUCCCUCUAGCCUAUCGCCAUAAAGGUCACCCACCAUCUGGGGAUAACCAAUCUUGCCACCUUUUUUGCCUCGACAUCAAGAGACUGAUUUUCAUUAGCUCAUCUCUACAACUCCUAUAAUCAACCAUGGAACCACAACAUGUAACUUGUCCUCAUUGAUCCAUUGUUAGGAGCAUAAACUCAGCUAUGAUACUAACUUAUGCAGGUUGAAGUAUAAACGAUAACAAAUACAAGACUAUUUAAAAAAAAUAAAAAUAAAAAUCCGUUCACGAUUAACCAUUUAGGUGGAUAAUUGAAGAAAAUUCUAAACCUUUCCAUUCACAUUCAAACCAACCAUCCUACAACAUAAUUAUAACACCAUGUUCAUAUCAAACUCCUAACUAGUCUUUAAGUAUAACUAACCCUAUAACUUAUUUAUUUUAAUUAAUCUCCUAAUCCAAAUAAAACUCCUGCGAAACUUAAAUGAUAAAAGACAUUAAUUAAAAACAAUACAAUUUAAACAAUAAAGUAUCAAAUUAAACGGGCUUGCAUGCAUCAUAGAUUUAGUUAGCCCGAUGGGGGUAAAUACAAUAUAACAUAAAUCCACAUUUGAUGAAAAGGAAACUCUUGUUUGCAAUAUCCAAACCCCUAUGGUGACGUUUAAAAUUGACUACAUUUAUUCGAUAUUGCAGUCUUAUUCAUCUUUAUUUUCUUGUUAUGAUUUCAGUAUAUAAAGUACAAACACGACCAACAAAUUUAAUGCUGAAUUGUCUAUAAAGAGUGUGAUCUCACCUGAAGUUUGAGAGAUAAUCGGACGUCUCCGAUUGAAUUCUAUCCCUUUCAAUUAGUUGCAUCAUGCUGAAGAACAAAACAGGGGUGAACAAUGUUUUCAACUACUUAAACUAGGGGAAGACAGAAAUCGAAAUCUAAUACAUUUUAUACGUAGAAUGCAUUUGGGUAACAGAGAACUGAACAUUAAUUUAAUGCAUGUUCGGUAACCAAUAUGGAACUCAACAUUAUGACUUUAUUUUUCCAUGUUAGUACAUGCAAUGAACCAUACCAAAAUGGUAGAAGAUUUAUUUUCAGAGUAAGACCAUUGAAAAUAGGAGUCAAUACGUGCAGUUGGACGGCCCAAGUUAGCACCUCUUUUGCAUUCUUAUCAUCUACUGAUUCCAUAAUUUUUUAUUAAUAAUAUCAAAAAAGAAAGAGCACAUCAAAAUGAAAGCGAGUAGAAUAAAAACUAACAAGCUAUAUAUAAGUUUUUAAGUUUUUUCCUUUCAGGUGCCAAAAAGAAUUAUAAGGACCUUAUUUAUGCGUGUACGAGUAUGAAGACUUCUUAAUGUUGGGUAGAAGAUGUGAUAAAAUAUCACUUUUUUCACUCAAAUAAACAAACUUUCAUAAAUAUCACAAUACAUAACUAUUACAAAAGAGCAACUCUCUCUCAAACACUCUCUUAUACAAGCAUGGAAAUUUCUCUUCUACGCGAUAAUUCAAAAUACAUACCAAUACCUCUAUUUAGAGAAAAUCUAAGAAGAGUUCAAAAUGAUCAAAUAACUUUCUUCGACCUCCUUUAUUAGAAGAAGAGUUCAAAAUGAAUAAGUAACUUCCACCUCUUUUGACAGAAGAAUAGUUCAAAAUGAUUAAGUAACUUCCACCUCCUUUAAUAGAAGAAUAAUUCAAGAUGGUUAAGUAACUCUUUAAUAGCUCUCGACUAAUGACGAGUUUUUCCUUAACCAUGCAAAAUUCGUCUAUCCAAUAAAAAAAAAACUUCUAUUUAACCUAGUUGAAUUUUGACUAAGUCAUAUAUUCAUCAUCUUCAUGCUUCUAAAGCUUCUUGAUGAUUUUGAAACUUCUUAUUUCUAGAAUUUCCUUGGUCAAAUUUACACUACUUUCAACAUCCCCCUUUAAAGUUGACCAUCCCAAGUAUAAAUUUCUAUCUAGUAAACACAUGUUUAAGUGGCUUGGUAAAAAAUCUGUUGCUUGAUCAUUUGUUCAGCAUGGUAAUAGCUUCACUUCUUUCAUCUUUAUGUGUUCCUGGAUAAAAUGAAAACAUGUGUCUAUAUGUUUGCUUCUUUCAUGAUGGGUUGGAUUAUUUGCAAGUGCAAUUGCUAAUCAGUUAUCAAUAUAAAUCUCAAUGAAAUUUUCUUGACGGAACUACAAAUAUGUUAGCAUAUUGCGCAACCAGAUAGCAUGACAUACAACUAAAAUUACAGCAACAUAUUCAACUUCACAACUGGAUAAAGUAACAACUAGUUUGGAUGACAAUGAGAGUGCAGUUUCUCCAAUAAAAAUACGAAUCCAGUUGUACCUUUCCUUUCAUCUACGUCUCUUCCCCAAUUACUAUUUGAAUAACCAAUGAGCUUAAAAUCAUUAGUAGAUGUAUAACAUAAGCCUUCAUUGAUUGUACCUUUAAGAUAGCGGAGUAUUCUUUUUGCUACAUUAAGAUGUGACUAAUCUAGUGUCUCCAUGUAUCUGUUGAUCAAUCUUACGCCCUCUAGUAUAUCCGAUCUGGUGCAUGUUAGGUAUCUAAGGCUUCCAACCAAGAUCUUGAAAUAUGUAGGAUCAACAUCAAUAUCUUCAUUUUUGCGUAGUUCCAAUUCGCUUUCAACUGGAGUAGUUACUGGAUUAUACUUCUCCAUUCCAAAUUUCUUUAAAAUAUCUGUUGUAUAGGCACUUUGAAAAAUAAAAAUCCCAUCUUCUUGUUGCUUAACUUCAAUCCCAACAAAGUGAGCUAUGAAUCCAAUAUCAGUCAUUUCAAAUUCUUUCAUCAUAUUUUCUUUGAAAGUUUCAAACAUGGAUGGAUUGUUCCCUAUAAAAAUCAAAUCAUCCAUAUAUAAACAAAUAAAUAGUAUACUUCCAUCCUGUUCUCGUUUUACAUGUACUGCAUGUUCAUACUGACAUUGAAUGAAUCCAUUCUAUUUAACGUAAUUGUCAAUACGGGUAUUCCAUGCUCGGGGGUAGCUUGCUUGAGUCCGUAAAGAGUUUUUUUCAAUUAAUAAACUUUAUUUAGUUGACCCUCUCGUAUGUACCUUGGUAGCUGCUUG